This 834-nucleotide long non-coding RNA is filed under the name Homo sapiens (human). RNAcentral describes it as "HSALNT0191580". The record is from RNAcentral. Lineage: Eukaryota; Metazoa; Chordata; Mammalia; Primates; Hominidae.
GAAAAUACAAAAGCACUACUGUUUAACAGGAAAGUUACUAUCCAGAAAUUAACCCACAAAGGUGGGAAGAGUAUUUACCCGCUAAUCUCUUUAUUCCCUCGCCUGACAAAAUAUCUGCAUUCCUGGGCGGCCUCAAGAAAUGAACUACAGACAUCUAUUCCCUUUGUGAUACCUCCUUGGAAUCAAAGUGUGGAGUGUAACAAUGUGCCUCCACACACUCACACUAGUUGAUGCUUCAUCUUGGUGAAAUCAAGUUUUUGGAAUUACCUUUCCUAAGAUCAUUCUAUUCACAGAGAAGGAGCUUAAUGUAAGUGAAAUUUUGUAAAAACCAAAGGAAACUAUGGUGGAUGUAUUCUAGACAGAAGAAGGAUUAAACCAAGAUAAAAACAAUGUGAAUGAGGAAAGUGGGAGUAACAGGGAUUCCAAGAGAAAGAAGGAGAACUGGUAAUUGAUGUGGGGCCAAACAGCACAGUACAGCAGAAAGGAUCUAAAUUUGGGAAUUAUACUGAGAUUUUCCAUUUGUCAAAAAUGAGGAGUACUAAUCAGUAGUGCUAUGGAAACAAGACACUAACAGUUAUAGUCCGGAAGAAGAGAUGAUAACAUCUGUCCCUAAAAAGAGGCAGCACAGCAUGGAGAGAGAUACUUCUGCUUGGGUGAAGGAGAAAACAUACCAGGCUGCACCUAGGCUCCAGGCCAGUCUUCAUGGCCUCAGACUCCAGAGGAUCCAAAGUCCAGUACUACUCUGGCAUAUCUAGACUACAGGCCCGCCCCAGUAGACCCUGGUGUCAGGCCAACUACCAGAGAGAGACUGAAGCUCCAAUGCCACCCCCACAG